CUCGACAACGGAUAUCUCGGAUCUUGCAUCGAUGAAGAAUGCAUUGAAAUGCGAUACUUGGUGUGAAUUGCAGAAUCCCAUGAACCAUCAAGUAUUUAAACGCAAGUUGUGCCCGAAGCCUUCUUGCUGAGGGCACGUCUUCAUGGGCAUCACG
Molecule: ribosomal RNA, 154 nt
Filed under: Begonia formosana
Lineage: Eukaryota; Viridiplantae; Streptophyta; Magnoliopsida; Cucurbitales; Begoniaceae
Description: 5.8S ribosomal RNA
Rfam family: 5.8S ribosomal RNA
About the family: 5.8S ribosomal RNA (5.8S rRNA) is a component of the large subunit of the eukaryotic ribosome. It is transcribed by RNA polymerase I as part of the 45S precursor that also contains 18S and 28S rRNA. Functionally, it is thought that 5.8S rRNA may be involved in ribosome translocation.
Source: RNAcentral